Long non-coding RNA from Manis javanica (Malayan pangolin), 891 nucleotides. RefSeq lists it as uncharacterized. The record is from RefSeq and is a predicted model, not a curated record. NCBI's taxonomy places the organism in Eukaryota, Metazoa, Chordata, Mammalia, Pholidota, Manidae.
CUCUGAGAGUGUGGAAAGGCGGCUGCUCCCUUUGUACUGGUUUGAGAGUUUCUGCUAUGCAAAGAAUUUUCUUUGUGCUUCCUGGAGCUUUAUCCUGCCAAGACCGGGGGAGCGGAGCAACAACGCGGCUUUGAAGACGCCUAAACCAAAGAAAUGGCCAGGCCCUGCUCUGCACCUUCGGUUCUUCUCCUGGUUGGGAUGUCGUAUUGUGGUUACCCUGUACCAAUAGCACAGGACCUGGAGAGAAAACCAUGAACCUGCUGAAGGUCCCGAAGGUACGGAGGUCCCAGGAGACGGCCUCUGUGGGGAGGGGAGAGCGUGUUCACACGUGAGAGGAAGAGUGAAAUGGCCCUCAAGGGGCAGGCGGGCUGCUGUGGCAGGACUCAUGGGCUGCUCACCCAGCCUAACCCCUCUCCACAGUUUGUUCAUCCACUCGUGUUGAUGGACACUUGCGGUGUUUCUGCAUCUGGACUCUCCGCAGCUCACUGGGGAAAGAAACUCGGCAGAGAUUUCCCCAGAUUCGACAACCAUCCUAUCUAAUCCUGAACAUUUCGCCUCAUUACCAAGAUGGAGUUGCCAAGAUGAAAAAACUUUUCUAAAGUAUUUUAAUGAAAAGGAAAAUAGGUUGAGUUAACUUUCUUUGCUCUCUAUAAAAAUUGAUAUUACAAAACCAUUGUUAUAUGAAAAGACAAACAGUAGACAGGCAGAAAAAUGAUAGGCAGAAGCAAAGAAUUAUAGAGGUGUGUCAGGCAGUUCUUUAUGAAAAUACUAUGUUAAUUUGGAUGAACAAAUUCUGGAUUUGUUCAGUUUUCAGUUUUUAAAAGUGUGCUUCUGUUUUUUUUUUAAUGUGCAAUUUGUUGUCAUAUUUUUUCCUUAUUAAACUUGGUAUAC